This 450-nucleotide ribosomal RNA is filed under the name uncultured bacterium. RNAcentral describes it as "bacterial SSU rRNA". It matches the Rfam family "Bacterial small subunit ribosomal RNA", at positions 354 to 796 of the family's 1533-position model. The record is from RNAcentral.
GUGAGGAAUUUUGCGCAAUGGGGGAAACCCUGACGCAGCAACGCCGCGUGAGUGAUGAAGACCUUCGGGUCGUAAAGCUCUGUCAAGUGGGAAAAAAUACUUUCGGUUAAUAGCCGGAAGGACUGAUGGUACCGCUGGAGGAAGCACCGGCUAACUCCGUGCCAGCAGCCGCGGUAAUACGGAGGGUGCAAGCGUUGUUCGGAAUUACUGGGCGUAAAGGGCGUGUAGGCGGCUUGGCAAGUCAGAUGUGAAAGCCCUGGGCUCAACUCAGGAAGUGCAUUUGAAACUGCCAUGCUAGAGUAUGGGAGAGGAGAGUGGAAUUCCCAGUGUAGAGGUGAAAUUCGUAGAUAUUGGGAGGAACACCGGUGGCGAAAGCGACUCUCUGGACCAAUACUGACGCUGAGACGCGAAAGCGUGGGGAGCAAACAGGAUUAGAUACCCCAGUAGUCC